This 256-nucleotide small RNA is filed under the name Pongo abelii (Sumatran orangutan). RNAcentral describes it as "Metazoan signal recognition particle RNA (ENSPPYG00000035709.1)". Lineage: Eukaryota; Metazoa; Chordata; Mammalia; Primates; Hominidae. The record is from Rfam by way of RNAcentral.
GCUGGGUGUGGUGGUGGGCACCUGUAAUCCCAGCUACUUGGGAGGCUGAGGCAGGAGAAUAGCUGGAACCUGGGAAGCAGAGGUUGCAGUGAGCCGAGAUGGUGCCACUGCACUCCAACCUGGGCCAGAGCGAGACUCCGUCUCAAAAAAAAAAAAAAAAAAAAGGUGGGGGCCAGGCACGGCCUGGAGUGCAGUGGCACAAUCUUGGCUCAGUGCAACCUCUACCUCCCAGCUUCAAGCGAUUCUGCUGCCUCAG